Molecule: ribosomal RNA, 406 nt
Filed under: uncultured bacterium
Lineage: Bacteria
Description: partial 16S ribosomal RNA
Rfam family: Bacterial small subunit ribosomal RNA
Source: RNAcentral
GAUGAACGCUAGCUACAGGCUUAACACAUGCAAGUCGAGGGACCGGCGCACGGGUGAGUAACACGUAUCCCACCCGCCCUUUACUCGGGGAUAGCCUUUCGAAAGAAAGAUUAAUACCCGAAAUAAUGGAUGCGUAUGCGUUGCAUUAGGUUGUUGGUGAGGUAACGGCCCACCAAGCUUUCGAUGGCGAGGGGUUCUGAGAGGAAGGUCCCCCGCAUUGGAACUGAGACACGGACCAAACUCGUACGGGAGGCAGCAGUAAGGAAUAUUAGUGAAGGGGCGCUAGCCUGAACCAGCCAAGUAGCGUGAAGGAUGAAGGCGUAAGGGUCGAAAACUUCUUUUAUAUAAGAAUAUGUAUUAGAUGAAUAAGGAACGGCUAACUCCGUGCCAGCCGCCGCGGUAAUUC